Long non-coding RNA from Rattus norvegicus (Norway rat), 586 nucleotides. RefSeq lists it as uncharacterized. The record is from RefSeq and is a predicted model, not a curated record. NCBI's taxonomy places the organism in Eukaryota, Metazoa, Chordata, Mammalia, Rodentia, Muridae.
AAACCUCCUUUGGAAACUCUCAACAGUUACUUUCUCAGUUUGCAUCCAAGUGAGGGGUCCCUGUUUCCUCCUCCAGGCUGACCACUGCCUGGUGCCUUUGAAAAGUUCAGGGGCUGAGAGGACUGGAAGUUAUCCAGCUGGUUACACAGAAACUCUUCCCAAACUGCUAGGGGCCACUUUUGGAGGAUUCAUCUUUAACAUGCACCUAUUCAUCUUGAAGAAAGCAGCCUUUGAAGAAAAAAAUUAAACUGAUGAUCACUGGUGAUUCCAGAGAGCUCAUUCAGAAGUCUUUCUGCACUGCCUUCUGCCAGCCUCCAGGACCGUACACAUGAGUGACAACCUCUAUCUAGUGUUUGAGUAUAUGAACCCUUAAUCCAUCAAGGAGCUUCCAGAACUGAGAGAGUACCUCCACCAUAUGCUUAUACCUCUCUGCACAAACCCAUCAUCUUGGGACCCACAGAAAUGCCACCACAUUGGAAGCCAGCUGAAUGUAUUUUCCUAAUCUCAUCCAGACUCUAUGGCUAUAAUUUGGCUGCUGACAUCAUUUUAAAUUAGGUUUUGCUUCAAUGAAAGAAGGUAAACCGUA